CCUACGGGCUGCAGCAGUGAGGAAUAUUGGUCAAUGGACGCAAGUCUGAACCAGCCAUGCCGCGUGCAGGAAGACGGCUCUAUGAGUUGUAAACUGCUUUUGUACGAGGGUAAAUCCCGAGACGUGUAGCGGGUUGAAAGUAUCGUACGAAUAAGGAUCGGCUAACUCCGUGCCAGCAGCCGCGGUAAAACGGAGGAUUCAAGGGUUAUCCGGAUUUAUGGGGUUUAAAGGGUGCGUAGGCGGUGCGAUCAGUUAGAGGUGAACUCCCGGGGCUCACCUCCGGCACUGCCUCUGAUACUGUCGGGCUGGCGUUUAGUUGCGUUAGGCGGAAUGUAUGGUGUAGCGGUGAAAUGCAUAGAGAUCAUACAGAACACCGAUUGCGCGGGCAGCUUACCACACUACGACUGACGUUGCGGCACGAAAGCGUGGGGAGCAAACAGGAUUAGAUACCCCUGUAGUC
This 460-nucleotide ribosomal RNA is filed under the name uncultured bacterium. Its description in RNAcentral is "partial 16S ribosomal RNA". It matches the Rfam family "Bacterial small subunit ribosomal RNA", at positions 338 to 795 of the family's 1533-position model. The record is from RNAcentral.